RNAcentral lists this non-coding RNA (221 nucleotides) under Turicibacter sp. RNAcentral's name for it is "T-box sequence". It matches the Rfam family "T-box leader". From Rfam's summary of the family: Uncharged tRNA acts as the effector for transcription antitermination of genes in the T-box leader family. T-boxes are found upstream of many aminoacyl-tRNA synthetase genes and some amino acid biosynthetic genes usually in Gram-positive bacteria. The record is from RNAcentral. Lineage: Bacteria; Bacillati; Bacillota; Erysipelotrichia; Erysipelotrichales; Turicibacteraceae.
AUAUGAACCGUGAAGAGGACUAGUAGUAAGUUGGGAUUAUUGUAGAGAGCGAAUGGUUGGUGCAAAUUCGUAUAGAACACUUAUGAACUCACCUCGGAGUUGCAAUUGUGAAAUUUAAGUAAUGAUUGCCGUAUUCUUGCGUUAAAAGAUGAGAGAGGUAAGAGACUACUUUUUUUAGACUCUUGCAACUAAGGUGGUACCGCGUAAUUUACGUCCUUAGA